GAUGAACGCUGGCGGCGUGCUUAACACAUGCAAGUCGAACGGGAAACCUUUUAUUGAAGCUUCGGCAGAUUUAGCUGGUUUCUAGUGGCGGACGGGUGAGUAACGCGUGGGUAACCUGCCUUAUACAGGGGGAUAACAGUCAGAAAUGGCUGCUAAUGCCGCAUAAGCGCACAGAGCUGCAUGGCUCAGUGUGAAAAACUCCGGUGGUAUAAGAUGGACCCGCGUUGGAUUAGCUGGUUGGUGGGGUAACGGCCCACCAAGGCGACGAUCCAUAGCCGGCCCGAGAGGGUGAACGGCCACAUUGGGACUGAGACACGGCCCAGACUCCUACGGGAGGCAGCAGUGGGGAAUAUUGCACAAUGGGGGAAACCCUGAUGCAGCGACGCCGCGUGAAGGAAGAAGUAUCUCGGUAUGUAAACUUCUAUCAGCAGGGAAGAUAAUGACGGUACCUGACUAAGAAGCCCCGGCUAACUACGUG
RNAcentral lists this ribosomal RNA (478 nucleotides) under uncultured bacterium. RNAcentral's name for it is "partial 16S ribosomal RNA". It matches the Rfam family "Bacterial small subunit ribosomal RNA", at positions 28 to 507 of the family's 1533-position model. The record is from RNAcentral.